This 460-nucleotide ribosomal RNA is filed under the name uncultured bacterium. RNAcentral's name for it is "partial 16S ribosomal RNA". It matches the Rfam family "Bacterial small subunit ribosomal RNA", at positions 338 to 795 of the family's 1533-position model. The record is from RNAcentral.
CCUACGGGUGGCAGCAGUGAGGAAUAUUGGUCAAUGGACGAGAGUCUGAACCAGCCAAGUAGCGUGAAGGAUGACUGCCCUAUGGGUUGUAAACCUCUUUUAUAUGGGAAUAAAACGUUCCACGUGUGGGAUUUUGUAUGUACCAUAUGAAUAAGGAUCGGCUAACUCCGUGCCAGCAGCCGCGGUAAUACGGAGGAUCCGAGCGUUAUCCGGAUUUAUUGGGUUUAAAGGGUGCGUAGGUGGAUUGUUAAGUCAGUUGUGAAAGUUUGCGGCUCAACCGUAAAAUUGCAGUUGAAACUGGCAGUCUUGAGUACAGUAGAGGUGGGCGGAAUUCGUGGUGUAGCGGUGAAAUGCUUAGAUAUCACGAAGAACUCCGAUUGCGAAGGCAGUUCACUGGACUGCAACUGACACUGAGGCUCGAAAGUGUGGGUAUCAAACAGGAUUAGAUACCCGAGUAGUC